RNAcentral lists this ribosomal RNA (556 nucleotides) under Streptomyces sp. 431E08. Its description in RNAcentral is "bacterial SSU rRNA". It matches the Rfam family "Bacterial small subunit ribosomal RNA", at positions 102 to 671 of the family's 1533-position model. The record is from RNAcentral. Lineage: Bacteria; Bacillati; Actinomycetota; Actinomycetes; Kitasatosporales; Streptomycetaceae.
ACGGGUGAGUAACACGUGGGCAAUCUGCCCUUCACUCUGGGACAAGCCCUGGAAACGGGGUCUAAUACCGGAUAUGAGCCUGGGAGGCAUCUCCCGGGUUGUAAAGCUCCGGCGGUGAAGGAUGAGCCCGCGGCCUAUCAGCUUGUUGGUGAGGUAAUGGCUCACCAAGGCGACGACGGGUAGCCGGCCUGAGAGGGCGACCGGCCACACUGGGACUGAGACACGGCCCAGACUCCUACGGGAGGCAGCAGUGGGGAAUAUUGCACAAUGGGCGAAAGCCUGAUGCAGCGACGCCGCGUGAGGGAUGACGGCCUUCGGGUUGUAAACCUCUUUCAGCAGGGAAGAAGCGAAAGUGACGGUACCUGCAGAAGAAGCGCCGGCUAACUACGUGCCAGCAGCCGCGGUAAUACGUAGGGCGCAAGCGUUGUCCGGGAAUUAUUGGGCGUAAAGAGCUCGUAGGCGGCUUGUCACGUCGAUUGUGAAAGCCCGAGGCUUAACCUCGGGUCUGCAGUCGAUACGGGCUAGCUAGAGUGUGGUAGGGGAGAUCGGAAUUCCU